RNAcentral lists this ribosomal RNA (468 nucleotides) under uncultured bacterium. RNAcentral's name for it is "partial 16S ribosomal RNA". It matches the Rfam family "Bacterial small subunit ribosomal RNA", at positions 28 to 507 of the family's 1533-position model. The record is from RNAcentral.
GAUGAACGCUGGCGGCGUGCUUAACACAUGCAAGUCGAACGGUGAAGGCGGAGCUUGCUCUGCUGGAUCAGUGGCGAACGGGUGAGUAACACGUGAGCAAUCUGCCCCUGACUCUGGGAUAAGCGCUGGAAACGGCGUCUAAUACUGGAUACGAGCUGCGAAGGCAUCUUCAGCAGCUGGAAAGAACUUCGGUCAGGGAUGAGCUCGCGGCCUAUCAGCUUGUUGGUGAGGUAAUGGCUCACCAAGGCGUCGACGGGUAGCCGGCCUGAGAGGGUGACCGGCCACACUGGGACUGAGACACGGCCCAGACUCCUACGGGAGGCAGCGGUGGGGAAUAUUGCACAAUGGGCGAAAGCCUGAUGCAGCAACGCCGCGUGAGGGACGACGGCCUUCGGGUUGUAAACCUCUUUUAGCAGGGAAGAAGCGAAAGUGACGGUACCUGCAGAAAAAGCGCCGGCUAACUACGUG